UGGGGAAUAUUGGACAAUGGGCGAAAGCCUGAUCCAGCCAUGCCGCGUGUGUGAAGAAGGCCUUAUGGUUGUAAAGCACUUUAAGCGAGGAGGAGGGUACUGGUAUUAAUACUACCAGGUACUGGACGAUACUCGCAGAAUAAGCACCGGCUAACUCUGUGCCAGCAGCCGCGGUAAUACAGAGGGUGCGAGCGUUAAUCGGAUUUACUGGGCGUAAAGCGUGCGUAGGCGGCUAAUUGAGUCGGAUGUGAAAUCCCCGAGCUUAACUUGGGAAUUGCAUUCGAUACUGGUUAGCUAGAGUGUGGGAGAGGAUGGUAGAAUUCCAGGUGUAGCGGUGAAAUGCGUAGAGAUCUGGAGGAAUACCGAUGGCGAAGGCAGCCAUCUGGCCUAACACUGACGCUGAGGUACGAAAGCAUGGGGAGCAAACAGG
Molecule: ribosomal RNA, 430 nt
Filed under: Pseudomonadota bacterium
Lineage: Bacteria; Pseudomonadati; Pseudomonadota
Description: Proteobacteria bacterium partial 16S ribosomal RNA
Rfam family: Bacterial small subunit ribosomal RNA
Source: RNAcentral